GACGAACGCUGGCGGCGUGCCUAAUACAUGCAAGUCGAACGCUUUUUCUUUCACCGGAGCUUGCUCCACCGAAAGAAAAAGAGUGGCGAACGGGUGAGUAACACGUGGGUAACCUGCCCAUCAGCAGGGGAUAACACUUGGAAACAGGUGCUAAUACCGUAUAACACUAUUUUCCGCAUGGGAGAAAGUCGAAAGGCGCUUUUGCGUCACUGAUGGAUGGACCCGCGGUGCAUUAGCUAGUUGGUGAGGUAACGGCUCACCAAGGCAACGAUGGAGAGCCGACCUGAGAGGGUGAUCCGCCACACUGGGACUGAGACACGGCCCAGACUCCUACGGGAGGCAGCAGUAGGGAAUCUUCGGCAAUGGACGAAAGUCUGACCGAGCAACGCCGCGUGAGUGAAGAAGGUUUUCGGAUCGUAAAACUCUGUUGUUAGAGAAGAACAAGGAUGAGAGAGUGAUGGUAUCUUACCAGAAAGUCACGGCUAACUACGUGCCAGCCGCCGCAGUAA
RNAcentral lists this ribosomal RNA (509 nucleotides) under uncultured bacterium. RNAcentral describes it as "partial 16S ribosomal RNA". It matches the Rfam family "Bacterial small subunit ribosomal RNA", at positions 28 to 523 of the family's 1533-position model. The record is from RNAcentral.